This 253-nucleotide ribosomal RNA is filed under the name uncultured bacterium. RNAcentral's name for it is "partial 16S ribosomal RNA". It matches the Rfam family "Bacterial small subunit ribosomal RNA", at positions 524 to 776 of the family's 1533-position model. The record is from RNAcentral.
CACGUAGGGCGCAAGCGUUGUCCGGAAUUAUUGGGCGUAAAGAGCUCGUAGGCGGUUUGUCGCGUCUGCUGUGAAAACCCGAGGCUCAACCUCGGGCCUGCAGUGGGUACGGGCAGACUAGAGUGCGGUAGGGGAGAUUGGAAUUCCUGGUGUAGCGGUGGAAUGCGCAGAUAUCAGGAGGAACACCGAUGGCGAAGGCAGAUCUCUGGGCCGUAACUGACGCUGAGGAGCGAAAGCGUGGGGAGCGAACAGG